This 497-nucleotide ribosomal RNA is filed under the name uncultured bacterium. Its description in RNAcentral is "partial 16S ribosomal RNA". It matches the Rfam family "Bacterial small subunit ribosomal RNA", at positions 28 to 507 of the family's 1533-position model. The record is from RNAcentral.
GACGAACGCUGGCGGCGUGCUUAAUACAUGCAAGUCGAGCGAACAGACGCGGCUCUUGCUCCUCUCACGUUAGCGGCGGACGUGAGUGUAACACGUGGAUCCCCUCCCUAUCAGACUGGUAUCACUUCGAGAAUCCGGAGCUUAUACCGGAUAACCUCCUGCAGCAUAGGGGUGAACGGAGAAAUACGGCUUUGGUGGCUCUACUAGCUGCAUCCGAGUCGUAUUAGCUAGUUGGGAAGGUAACGGCUUACCACGGCAACCAUGCGUAGCCGAACUGAGAGGGUGAUAGGCGACACGGGAACGGAAACAGGGACCAGAGGACUAAGGGAGGCAGCAGUAGGGAAUCUUCCGCAAUGGGCGAAAGCCUGACGGAGCAACGCCGCGUGAGUGAAGAAGGUCUUCGGAGCGUAAAGCUCUGUUAUUAGGGAAGAACAAAUGUGGAAGUAACUAUGCACGUCUUGACGGUACCUAAUCAGAAAGCCACGGCUAACUACGUG